Molecule: ribosomal RNA, 420 nt
Filed under: Veillonella sp. oral taxon 158
Lineage: Bacteria; Bacillati; Bacillota; Negativicutes; Veillonellales; Veillonellaceae
Description: bacterial SSU rRNA
Rfam family: Bacterial small subunit ribosomal RNA
Source: RNAcentral
GACGAACGCUGGCGGCGUGCUUAACACAUGCAAGUCGAACGAAGAGCGAUGGAAGCUUGCUUCUAUCAAUCUUAGUGGCGAACGGGUGAGUAACGCGUAAUCAACCUGCCCUUCAGAGGGGGACAACAGUUGGAAACGACUGCUAAUACCGCAUACGAUCCAACCUCGGCAUCGAGGAUGGAUGAAAGGUGGCCUCUAUUUAUAAGCUAUCACUGAAGGAGGGGAUUGCGUCUGAUUAGCUAGUUGGAGGGGUAACGGCCCACCAAGGCAAUGAUCAGUAGCCGGUCUGAGAGGAUGAACGGCCACAUUGGGACUGAGACACGGCCCAGACUCCUACGGGAGGCAGCAGUGGGGAAUCUUCCGCAAUGGACGAAAGUCUGACGGAGCAACGCCGCGUGAGUGAUGACGGCCUUCGGGUUG